RNAcentral lists this ribosomal RNA (440 nucleotides) under uncultured bacterium. RNAcentral describes it as "partial 16S ribosomal RNA". It matches the Rfam family "Bacterial small subunit ribosomal RNA", at positions 338 to 795 of the family's 1533-position model. The record is from RNAcentral.
ACUACGGGGGGCAGCAGUGGGGGAUAUUGCACAAUGGGGGAAACCCUGAUGCAGCGACGCCGCGUGUGGGAAGACGGUCCUCUGGAUUGUAAACCACUGUCUCCAGGGACGAAGAUGACGGUACCUGGGGAGGAAGCUCCGGCAAACUACGCGCCAGCAGCCGCGGUAAUACGCAGGGAGCGAGCGUUGUCCGGAAUUACUGGGUGUAAAGGGAGCGUAGGCGGGACUGCAAGUUGGGUGUCAAAUCUACCGGCUCAACCGGUAGCCGCACUCAAAACUGCAGUUCUUGAGUGAAGUAGAGGCAGGCGGAAUUCCUAGUGUAGCGGUGAAAUGCGUAGAUAUUAGGAGGAACACCAGUGGCGAAGGCGGCCUGCUGGGCUUUUACUGACGCUGAGGCUCGAAAGUGUGGGGAGCAAACAGGAUUAGAUACCCUUGUAGUA